GAAUCCUAAUCUUCCGUUUGGAAGCUUGUAUUUGGAGGUUAUUAGAAUUCUUUGGUAUAUUCAUAGGACUUUCGAUUUGAUUAACUAAAUCAGCUUUCAUAUCCCAAAUUAGUAUAUAUGUGAUAUUUGAUAGAAUGAUUGUAUUAAGCCCAUUAAAAUAUAUACUUUGGCCAAAAAAGAGGAAAUUUUGAGCCUUGGGUAGGCCACAAAUGCAAUGAUCUCAAACUAGCAACAUUCAGAUGGUUCAGAUCAUUCUAUUGAUGCGAUUUUAGUAUUGCAGCCGAUAAUUGAAUUGUUUGGGUAUCAUCAGUAUGCCACGUGUCCAGUGGAUUAGUAUCCUAGUGACACCUUUGUUACAUGUGCAACUCUCCUACCCUUAAAAAAAGAGGGAAAAAAGGCAUUUCCUUUGGAUUACAUUGGAAUAUCGGCAUUUUGCUGGGAUUUCAAAAUACACUAAAAGGUAGAUUUGAAAUACCUCCGAUUCCAUUUACCUCCAAAUAUUCCAAAUGCAAAAAGUAGCAAUUUGGAUUUGGAAUAUGCCCAUUUACCGCCAAAUCCAAGGUGCCAAACGAGGUGUUAGGUUUUUUUUUUUUCAAUUAUAUGUUAGUUGGAUAUUCGAUUACCUGACUAUCCAACUUACAUCUGACAUCUUUGGACAAUAUCUGAAUCCAUAUCCGUAUCUGAUGUCCAAGUCGGAUACUGGAUAUGAGUACCGCAAUAUGUGACCCGUCUCUGAUCCAUUUAUGGCUCCGGUGAGUCUAUGUAUCUUUUUUUUUUUUCCCUGUUCAUGCUGAAUUUCCUGUGAUUGUAGAUCAAACUGUAUACGAUGUCCAAAUCGGAUACUGGAUACAGAUAUUGCAAUAUGUGAUCCGUAUCUGACCUGUUUACGGCUCUAGUGAUUCUCUCCAUGUAUAUCUUUCUUUUUUGCUGUUCAUGCUGUUGUUGCUGAAUUUCCUGAGGAGGAAUCCGGAAUCCAAAACUAUUGGAAAUGUUGAAAGGUCAACAGUCAAUAUAUGUUAUUUGUGUUUCAA
Long non-coding RNA from Magnolia sinica, 1031 nucleotides. RefSeq lists it as uncharacterized. The record is from RefSeq and is a predicted model, not a curated record. The transcript is spliced from 2 exons. Lineage: Eukaryota; Viridiplantae; Streptophyta; Magnoliopsida; Magnoliales; Magnoliaceae.